AACUGCGAUAAGUAAUGUGAAUUGCAGAAUUCAGUGAAUCAUCGAGUCUUUGAACGCACAUUGCGCCCCCUGGCAUUCCGGGGGGCAUGCCUGUCCGAGCGUCAUUGCUGCCCUUCAAGCCCGGCUUGUGUGUUGGGUCAUCGUCCCCUCCGGGGGACGGGCCCGAAAGGCAGCGGCGGCACCGCGUCCGGUCCUCGAGCGUAUGGGGCUUUGUCACCCGCUCGAUAAGGACCGGCCGGGCGCCAGCCGGCGUCUCCAACCUUUUUUUCUCAGGUUGACCUCGGAUCAGGUAGGGAUACCCGCUGAACUUAAGC
This 314-nucleotide unclassified non-coding RNA is filed under the name plant metagenome. Its description in RNAcentral is "partial contains 5.8S ribosomal RNA, internal transcribed spacer 2, and large subunit ribosomal RNA". The stretch from base 1 to 104 matches the Rfam family "5.8S ribosomal RNA", at positions 51 to 154 of the family's 154-position model. The record is from RNAcentral.